GCCAGGGGUGGUGGCAUGCACCUGUAGUCCCAGCUACUCAGGAGGCUGAGGCAAGAGGAUUGCUUGAGCCUAGGAGUUCUAGGUUACACUGAGCUAUGAUCCUGCCAGUGCACUCCAGCCUAGGUGACAGAGUGAGACUUUGCCUCUA
This is an unclassified non-coding RNA of Pongo abelii (Sumatran orangutan), 148 nucleotides long. It matches the Rfam family "Metazoan signal recognition particle RNA". Rfam says of the family: The signal recognition particle (SRP) is a universally conserved ribonucleoprotein. The record is from Ensembl. Lineage: Eukaryota; Metazoa; Chordata; Mammalia; Primates; Hominidae.